GACGAACCGUGCAAACGUUAUUCGGAAUCACUGGGCAUAAAGGGCGCGUAGGCGGCUUGACAAGUCAGGGGUGAAAUCCGGCAGCUUAACUGUCGCAGUGCCUUUGAUACUGUCGAGCUCGAGGGAGGUAGGGGUCUGUGGAACUUCCGGUGGAGCGGUGAAAUGCGUUGAUAUCGGAAGGAACACCGGUGGCGAAAGCGGCGCGCUGGACCUUUACUGACGCUGAGGCGCGAAAGCCAGGGGAGCAAACGGG
This 253-nucleotide ribosomal RNA is filed under the name uncultured bacterium. Its description in RNAcentral is "partial 16S ribosomal RNA". It matches the Rfam family "Bacterial small subunit ribosomal RNA", at positions 524 to 776 of the family's 1533-position model. The record is from RNAcentral.